RNAcentral lists this ribosomal RNA (467 nucleotides) under uncultured bacterium. RNAcentral describes it as "bacterial SSU rRNA". It matches the Rfam family "Bacterial small subunit ribosomal RNA", at positions 27 to 507 of the family's 1533-position model. The record is from RNAcentral.
GGACGAACGCUGGCGGCGCGCCUAACACAUGCAAGUCGAACGAGAGAUGAGGAGCUUGCUCUUCAAAUCGAGUGGCGAACGGGUGAGUAACGCGUGAGGAACCUGCCUCAAAGAGGGGGACAACAGUUGGAAACGACUGCUAAUACCGCAUAAGCCCACGGCUCGGCAUCGAGCAGAGGGAAAAGGAGCAAUCCGCUUUGAGAUGGCCUCGCGUCCGAUUAGCUAGUUGGUGAGGUAAUGGCCCACCAAGGCGACGAUCGGUAGCCGGACUGAGAGGUUGAACGGCCACAUUGGGACUGAGACACGGCCCAGACUCCUACGGGAGGCAGCAGUGGGGAAUAUUGCACAAUGGGGGAAACCCUGAUGCAGCGACGCCGCGUGGAGGAAGAAGGUCUUCGGAUUGUAAACUCCUGUUGUUGAGGAAGAUAAUGACGGUACUCAACAAGGAAGUGACGGCUAACUACGUG